CAGUAGCCACGGUAAUACAGAGGGUGCAAGCGUUAAUCGGAAUUACUGGGCGUAAAGCGCGCGUAGGUGGUUUGUUAAGUUGGAUGUGAAAUCCCCGGGCUCAACCUGGGAACUGCAUCCAAAACUGGCAAGCUAGAGUAUGGUAGAGGGUGGUGGAAUUUCCUGUGUAGCGGUGAAAUGCGUAGAUAUAGGAAGGAACACCAGUGGCGAAGGCGACCACCUGGACUGAUACUGACACUGAGGUGCGAAAGCGUGGGGAGCAAACAGGAUUAGAUACCCCUGUAGUCCCUGUCUCUUAUAC
Molecule: ribosomal RNA, 301 nt
Filed under: uncultured bacterium
Lineage: Bacteria
Description: partial 16S ribosomal RNA
Rfam family: Bacterial small subunit ribosomal RNA
Source: RNAcentral